Molecule: long non-coding RNA, 931 nt
Filed under: Fukomys damarensis (Damara mole-rat)
Lineage: Eukaryota; Metazoa; Chordata; Mammalia; Rodentia; Bathyergidae
Description: lncRNA (ENSFDAG00000023635.1)
Source: RNAcentral
UCCAAGAAUGAAUGCAUUUUACUUAAAGAUGGAAAAUUUGGAACAGAAUCUCAGUAAAUAUCAAUUAUAUUCUCUUUAAAGAAAUCAAAGCCUAAUAAUAUGGGUAAGAAUAAGUUGCUAUUUAGUAUUUUUAAAUUUUCAUUUAGUACAAUAAUUAUAAGCAAUACGAAUCACCUUAAAGUAUAUGUGUUGGUGCUAAAAGGCUGGCAGUUGUAUUAUUUAAAGCAAAUAGUUUUGAAAUCUUAAAUCUGAAAAAUCAAAACUGUAUUUCUGCUAAAUAAGUAUUAGUUUGACAACUAAUAGAAGAUAUUAAAAAUGCUUAUGGUGGGAUACCAGAGUAGAAAAUGUUCCUCUCCUUGCCUGAUCUUUUUUCUUUUUUGGUACCAGGAAUCAAAUUUUGGACCUCAAGCUUGCGACGCAGGCAGUGGCACCAAAGAGCUAAAUCCCUGGCCCUUUGCCUGAUUCUUGAUGAGCAAGACCUGGGUGAAAGGCAGGUUAGAGCCUCUUCUCAGUUCAUCCAUUCUAGGUCUAAUUUAAUAUCUGCAAAAUUUGUUCAGAAAUAUGAUUUGAGAAAGGGUUCAAAUGGAAAGAAGUAAAGAGAGUGAAGAUAAAUUCUAGAAGUGCAAUCCACUGAACAAAUUGACUGACAGGAUGGAAUAAUGAGAAAAAGAAUUAAUAAUGGCCCCCAAGUUUUUGAUGCUACUGGGAAUGAAAGCAAGGAAAUGCAGGUGAGAACUGUUGUGGGAGGAGGACAAGAUAAAGGCUUUAAUUUUUAUCAUAUGAGAUUUGAAAUGUGAGACAUUCAAAAAGACUCAACAGUGCAGCUGGAUAUAUACAGGUUAAGAGGUCACAGUGGUCUAGGUUAGUGUAUGGUUUGGAUAAGGUCUAUGUGCUGCAAGCUUGGUCUCCAGUGUGGCAAUACUGACAGGAG